UACAGAGGGUGCAAGCGUUAAUCGGAAUUACUGGGCGUAAAGCGUGCGUAGACAGUUAUUUAAGUCAGGUGUGAAAGCCCCGGGCUCAACCUGGGAAUUGCAUUUGAGACUGAAUAGCUAGGGUGUGGCAGAGGGAGGUGGAAUUCCACGUGUAGCAGUGAAAUGCGUAGAGAUGUGGAGGAACACCGAUGGCGAAGGCAGCCUCCUGGGCCAGCACUGACGCUCAUGCACGAAAGCGUGGGGAGCAAACAGG
This 253-nucleotide ribosomal RNA is filed under the name uncultured bacterium. RNAcentral's name for it is "partial 16S ribosomal RNA". It matches the Rfam family "Bacterial small subunit ribosomal RNA", at positions 524 to 776 of the family's 1533-position model. The record is from RNAcentral.